GAGGGUAUAGCUCAGUGGUAGAGUGUGUGCUUAGCAUCACAAGGUCCUGGGUUCAAUCCCCAGCACCUCCA
This 71-nucleotide transfer RNA is filed under the name Camelus bactrianus (Bactrian camel). It matches the Rfam family "tRNA". Rfam says of the family: Transfer RNA (tRNA) molecules are approximately 80 nucleotides in length. Their secondary structure includes four short double-helical elements and three loops (D, anti-codon, and T loops). Further hydrogen bonds mediate the characteristic L-shaped molecular structure. tRNAs have two regions of fundamental functional importance: the anti-codon, which is responsible for specific mRNA codon recognition, and the 3' end, to which the tRNAs corresponding amino acid is attached (by aminoacyl-tRNA synthetases). tRNAs cope with the degeneracy of the genetic code in two manners: having more than one tRNA (with a specific anti-codon) for a particular amino acid; and 'wobble' base-pairing, i.e. permitting non-standard base-pairing at the 3rd anti-codon position. Lineage: Eukaryota; Metazoa; Chordata; Mammalia; Artiodactyla; Camelidae. RNAcentral also lists the same sequence under 1 other name. The record is from Rfam by way of RNAcentral.